RNAcentral lists this transfer RNA (73 nucleotides) under Bos taurus (domestic cattle). It matches the Rfam family "tRNA". From Rfam's summary of the family: Transfer RNA (tRNA) molecules are approximately 80 nucleotides in length. Their secondary structure includes four short double-helical elements and three loops (D, anti-codon, and T loops). Further hydrogen bonds mediate the characteristic L-shaped molecular structure. tRNAs have two regions of fundamental functional importance: the anti-codon, which is responsible for specific mRNA codon recognition, and the 3' end, to which the tRNAs corresponding amino acid is attached (by aminoacyl-tRNA synthetases). tRNAs cope with the degeneracy of the genetic code in two manners: having more than one tRNA (with a specific anti-codon) for a particular amino acid; and 'wobble' base-pairing, i.e. permitting non-standard base-pairing at the 3rd anti-codon position. The record is from Rfam by way of RNAcentral. RNAcentral also lists the same sequence under 4 other names. Lineage: Eukaryota; Metazoa; Chordata; Mammalia; Artiodactyla; Bovidae.
UCCCUCGUCGUCCAGUGGCUAAGACUCUGUGCUCCCAAAGCAGCGGACCCAGGUUUGAUCCCUGGCUGGGGAA